RNAcentral lists this ribosomal RNA (253 nucleotides) under uncultured bacterium. Its description in RNAcentral is "partial 16S ribosomal RNA". It matches the Rfam family "Bacterial small subunit ribosomal RNA", at positions 524 to 776 of the family's 1533-position model. The record is from RNAcentral.
UACGAAGGGGGCUAGCGUUGCUAGGAUUGACUGGGCGUAAAGGGCGCGUAGGCGGUUUGCACAGUCAGACGUGAAAUUCCUGGGCUUAACCUGGGGGCUGCGUUUGAUACGUGCAGGCUUGAGUUCGGAAGAGGGUCGUGGAAUUCCCAGUGUAGAGGUGAAAUUCGUAGAUAUUGGGAAGAACACCGGUGGCGAAGGCGGCGACCUGGUCCGAUACUGACGCUGAGGCGCGAAAGCGUGGGGAGCAAACAGG